AAACCGUACUUCUAUCAAACUUGACUACUACUACAUCUGAAAUUAUCAUCAAGAUGCUCACUUCGUGGCAAAGCAUACAUAAGUGUAUUUUUUUUUUGUUGUGUUUGCAAGUCCCAGAUGAGCAAAAACUAAAUUGUGCUCCUGAUGAAGACGUGGGGCUCUUGUCUUCUCUGUCCUGGGCUUCAGAUGUUGCUUAACUGGUAUCGCGUACCUUUCGCCUGCGGUUCUGCUCAAGUACCGUUCCUUUCUGUCUUUAUGUGAGAGGCAAUGCGGAUUUCCAAGCAGUGGACACAUCAACUUGAGUUGCUGGGAGACCCUGCUUUUUGUUUUCUUUCGUUUGUUUUUUUGUUUUUCAAGAAGAUGACUGGGUUAGGAAAACGUCGAACUGAGGAAGACGCUUUGUACUUUGCUACCGUCCCGUUUUUACCCAGUGACUGCCAUCAUUCCCAGCCUUUUCUGUUGGUGCGAGACCAAUAUGCUCUUCCAAGACUAGGAACAUCAGAAAAUCAGAAAAUUCAUUUGCAGUUUAACGAAAGGGUUGGACUAAAAUCUCCUCAACCUUCUAGGAUCUACUUCCAAUUUGAUCUUGUUCUUGUCAUGUCCUUCAAAAAUUUUAGUAUUGCUAUGUGACAGUAUCUAAUGAAGUUAAAAAAUCUUUUCAAAUGAUUCUGGAAUUCUUAGCAUUAUGGUUAACAGGGAGAGCACCUGUCUUGGGAGAAAUGGACCUACACCUCUGAGCACACAUUAUAAACUACGUUAUUUACAAAUGUCCUAAUUUAAUCUUCCAACAUUAAGAAGGAACAAAAUUCAGAGAUUAAUUUUUUCAAGGCUUCACACAUACUUAGUCCUGUUAUAAGGUUCAUUAUUUUUCUACUAUGCUACCUCUUAAGAAAUUUCUGUAUUAAAGUAAAAAACAGAAGUGUAGGUAAUGCCAAAAGCUUUACAAAUGGAUUUAAGUGUGUUUACAUCCUCAAAUCAAAAUCCCUAUAGUGAAACCUAUGAAGGGUACAGCGAUUAGAUGAUGAAGUUAAAGACUUAAUUUCAUCCGUCUGUUUAAUUUUACUCUGAAUCACAUGUCUUAAAAUAGCUCUGGGAGCCUGCGCUGUGGCACCCGCAUCCUAUAUGGACACCAGUUCAUGUCCCAGAUGCUCCACUUCUAAUCCAGGUCCCUGCUAAUGUGCCUGGGAAAGCAGCAGCAGAUGGCCCAAUGCUUUGGGCCCCUGCACCCCCUUGAGACCUGGAAGCAGCUCCUGGCUCCUGGCUUUGAACCAUCCCAGCUCUGGCUGUUGCAGCAGCCAAUUGGGGGUGUGAACCUGCGGAUGGAAGAUGUCUCUCCCUAACUCUGCCUUUCAAAUAAAUCAAUCUUAAAACACA
This 1374-nucleotide long non-coding RNA is filed under the name Oryctolagus cuniculus (rabbit). Its description in RNAcentral is "lncRNA (ENSOCUG00000034301.1)". The record is from RNAcentral. Lineage: Eukaryota; Metazoa; Chordata; Mammalia; Lagomorpha; Leporidae.